UGUGUGUAUAUAAUGCAGUGUGUUUGUGUAGUGUGCAUUAUAUAAACACACUACACAAACACACUGCAUUAUAUACACAA
Pelobates cultripes (western spadefoot toad) is the source of this 80-nucleotide non-coding RNA. The record is from the annotation of a GenBank genome assembly. Lineage: Eukaryota; Metazoa; Chordata; Amphibia; Anura; Pelobatidae.